Molecule: non-coding RNA, 74 nt
Organism: Rhamnusium bicolor
Lineage: Eukaryota; Metazoa; Arthropoda; Insecta; Coleoptera; Cerambycidae
Source: the annotation of a GenBank genome assembly
AGCUUCGUGGUUGAGUGGUAACGUAUUUGCCUUUCAUCCAGAAGUUCCGGGUUCGAUCCCCGGUCGAGGAGCUG